GUGACAUACAAUACGAUCCUCUCUUGCAAGGCCAGCAGUGGCAAAGAGCUGCAGUUCCAAAUCAGCCAUGUGACUUCCAGGGCGACCAGCUGGUACCCUAAGGAUUGGUAUGAAGAUUGGAGACCAUGUGUCUGACAUGCCUGCUCCUGUGUGUGGUCCAUGGGAGGAGCACCAUAACCAAGAGUGAUUGUGAACACAUGGAGCCACAUUUAAGAGACAGAAAGAGAAAAAAUUACUGUCCAGCUGCAAUUUUUCAUUUGGCAGGCGGCCAGCCAUUUUCUCAGAAUUUGACAGAAUAUGAUCUCUCAUUUAACUGGCUUUCUAAUGCUACCCCUGGGCAAGACUGAAAUGAAUCAGACCCUGGUGCAAUCAUUAUCUUGGCUGAAGAUCCACACCUACCGUUCUUCCUACAGACUGUUCCGUGUGGCCACAGUGGACUCCGAGAAAAACAACCAGAAGACAAUGCACUUGCCAAGCUGAAAUAGGGCUCAUUGCUGUUUCCAACAGGACUGCCUCUCUUCUGCCUUUGAACAAUUCUCUACAGUCAUUAGUCAUUCAUCCAUUCAGUAAAUAAUUAAGCACCUGGCAUGGCGCAUAAUGCAAAUAGUAUAGUCUAUGGUCUGUUCCCUCAGGGAACUUACAAUUUAGUAGAAAAGAUCUCAUGUAGUAGUGCAUAAGUGGAUGACAAAUAGUAAGAGGAGGGUUUGAGAGAGGGGGAAGGGAGCGUUGCCAUGAGUGUGUCCUUUCAUGGAGCAGGUAGAAUGGUUUGGAUGGGGAAUUGAAAGAGUAGGGUAAGCAGAGAUGGAGAUGACAGGGGGUGUGGGUGUGUAUUCUAAACCUGAGUGAUGGGAAGAAUAAGAAUGAUGUGUUCUAUAAUUGCUUUUAAAAUUGAAUCGAGAUAAGUAUCAUUUGGAGUAACACAGUAACCAUCCAACAGCUUGAGUCCUUUGGAGAUGCUGCCUAGGAGAUGGAGUAGGAAGCUUGUGCAAUAUCCAGGCCAGAAAGAGGGUGUUUUAGGUGAAGUUGGUAGCAAUGGAGAUAAUGAGAAAGGGCAGGAUUCUAGACAUAUUUAGAUUUUCCAGUCUCAUGUUAGUUUCAAUAUAUGAUGCCUUCUUAGAAGAUCCCUGAUCUGUAGUUUUGGAAAAAAAAAUACCACUUAGGGCUGCUCUCUGUGUCCUCAGAUACCUCUGCCAUGGAACACUGCCCUUUGAGUCAUGGCUGUGCACCAUUUGCUGCUGUCUUCAAGUUGGGUCACAGAGCCACAGAAUGAGAGGCCUGGUGCUUAGGGAGUCUCUGGUCUAAACCUACAUUUUGUGGGUCAGAAAACUGAGGCUUAUAGAGAGGUGAACUGGUUUGUCUAAGAUCUGACGGGUGAUUUGUAGUAGAGUAGCACUAGAGGCAGGUGUCCUAAUGCAGAGUCCAGCGGUCUUCCUACAUCACCGACCCCUUCCUCAUAAAGAAGCCAAGACGUGCUUCUCCCUGUGGCAAAGAUCAGCUAGCGAACUCAUUGACUCUGGGUCCAGUUAGUCUACAUUUCCCAGUUUUGGCUGAGUUCUAUACCAUGGGAUGUAGGUGGAAGUGUGAACACCAACUGUCGAGCCUGGCCCAUAGACAUUUCUCUACUCAAGCUCAGCCUCUUUUCCAUUUGCUAACUAGACACUGAUGUCCAACGCAACCUUGGAAGUAAGAUAUUGAAGAUGGCAGAGCAUCCACUACCGAGCAUAGUGAAUCUUGAAUGGGAGCACUUGGAGGAGCACUGAACCCAAAUCUGCUGGAAAUGACACCAAAGGUAGAACCCAAGAAAGGAAGCAGAGCGUGAGGUAGGAAUGUCUUGGCAGCUAGGACAAGUAAACAAAGGGGACCUCCAGGGAACUGGAAGAGAUGCAGGAUUACUGGAAUGCAAGAAGCAGGGUGGUGCAGACACCAGAUUAGGAAGCCAGAUGGUGGUGCAUAUAUUGAGAAAUUUGGAUCAACCCGAGGGACCUUAGGAACACUUGGAAGGAUUUUGAGGAGGGGAGUAAUGUAAUCAGAAUUUUAGAAAAAAAUCAUCACUGUGCCUGCCUGGAAGAACUGAUUGGAGUGGAUAGGAGUGGAGGAUAGGAGACAGAUUUAGCAGCUGUCUAAAUGUGUGCUUUUGCCUAGAAUGCUCAGUCACCAGGUGGAAGAUGUUUGGAUUUGUCUAGGGUCAUAGACAAUGUAAAGGGUACAUCAGAAGGCUAAAGGACAUGAGACCUAUCAACCCUUACUGUUCUGUCUUCUGGAACUCCAGUUCUCUCAGCACAAAUUCCCCUAUAUCAGGGGUUUGCAAACUCUAGCCCAUGGGGCAAUGGAUGCUGUCUGAUGCCUGUUUUUCCAUGGCUCACAAGAAAAAAUUAGAAGAGAAUGAUUUUUCACCUUAUGAUAAUUAUACAAAAUUCAAGAUUUGUGUCUAUAAAUAAGGUUUCAUUGAAACAUAGCCACAUUCACUUGUUUUUAUGUGGUUUAUGGACCUUAAAUUCCUCAUGCUUCAGUGACAGAGUUGAGUGAUUGUGACUGUGAAUGUUUUAAGUUCUUAUACCUAAGAUCCAGUCUGAUUUAACAGGACUGGGGGGUGUAGCUUGAGCUGGAUUUUGUAAUACUUCUCUAGUGAUUCUACUCUGUAUCCAAGUCUGAGAACCCCUGAAUAGCAGAAGCCUAGCUGUCCCUGAGGGCAUCUUUUCAAUAGACACUGUUUGUUUCACAUCCUACACUCCUCAGAGCAGGAUGUAGAUUAGCAUCUGUCUGGCUUCUAGGCCAUUAAUUCCUUUCCCUGUUGCAAAAAAUAUUGUGUUUGAGGCUUAGCCAUCUGGCUCUGUACUCUGUCCCUAUAGUGGUUUUUGUGGGUGGAUUUCUCCACCUCCAUUAUUCACUUAUCUUACUACCUGGAUCACUGUCUAAUUCCUGAUAAAAUUCUUGAUUUCAUCAUCCACAUUGCUGAACCAUUCAAUGCUUGAGAACUUAAGUAGUUAAACCUACUCAUCUUUAAUGAUUAUUUUCUUUCUUCCUUCUCAACUGCAAAAUUUCAUGGUCUUGCCUUGGAGUCUGCCAUCCCCAGGAGCUGCCAUCAUGUAUGAAAUCUCAACUUGAAACUUGUGACUCUCCAACCUUAUUAAUUCCAUCCUUGCAGCUAAUUUGCUGAACGUGCCAAUGAAAUCAUCAAUACACUGAUCCUUCCUGCCUCCCCUUCCCCUUUGAUUGCUUAUUCUCAGUCAACCUCUGGUUUCUCAGCCUAUUUUUACCUGCCAGGAUUCCAUGCUUAUCUGUAUAGUCAUUGCUCUACAACUUAGAGAUGAUAAUGACAGGACAAUGACCUUAUAGAGUAGUUAUGAGAAUGAAAAGUGUUAAUUUGUUUAGAGUAUAUGUGACAGUACUUGACCUACAUAAAGAAACUCAGUUGUUACCUGAAUGUUGGUGGAGAAAAGCAUACUUGCAAGCUGACUAGUUUUACUUGAACUUGUGAUCAUGAACCUUAAGUGAGCAUUCCAUUCUGCCAGUGAUCCUACUGUGGUUCAUUGAUAGAUUAGCUUUCCUAAUCUCGAGAGGACUCUUCCACACCACCUAUUUUCUCAAAACUCUCACUCAUUCCUCCUCAUUUCUAGGCAAUGACAUUAAAGCAGGAGGUUUUAGAAAGUUCACAGAAAAUAGAAUUAAAAGGUAAGUUUAUUCUGGUGCAAAAAAUAUUUGUAGUCCAGGUGUAGUGUUCUCAUAAUUCACACUUCCCAUAAACUUUUUGAAGAGCCUUCAUAUAUCUAGAAUAAAAUCUAAAAUAUGGUUCUUGUGAUGUGUCUAUAUUCCCAUAACUUUCUAAACAUUCUUUUAAAAUAUUUAUUUUAUUUAUUUGAAAGGCAGAGUGAGAGAGAGAGAGAGAGAGAGAGGGAGGGAGGGAGAGUGGAGAAAAAGAGAGAGCAGUAUCUUCCAUUCACUGUUUCAUUCCUCAAGUGGCCCCAGUGUUUGGGGCUGGGCCAGGCUGAAGCCAGUAGCCUGAAACUCCAACCAGGUCUCCCACAUAGGUGGCAGGGCCCAAGGACUUGGACCAUCUUUUGCUACAUUCCCAGGCCUAUUAGCAGGAUACUAUGUUAGAAGUAGAGCCCUGGGACCCAAACUGGUGCUCAUUUGGAUGUCUGCAUUACAGGUGGCUACUUAACACACUGCACCACAGUGCUGGCUCCUUUUGUAACUUACUGUAUGCAGCUUUCUUCCUCAGUCUCUGAACUUGGGCCACAUAAGUCUACUUUCACUUCCCAGGCUUUCUGUCACUAAGGGCUUUUGCAUGUGUACUUUCCUCUGCCUGGAACACUUUUCCCCCACUCAUUUCAUGGCAUUUAUUCAGUAUUUUGGGGGUGAGUCAACUUCAAAUAGCAUUGUCUUAGAUUACUCUUUCUCUUUACUCUAUCAGUUUGCUAUUGUUGCCAUAACAAAUCGCCACAAAAUUAAGUUUUAAAGGAUACAGACUAAUGAUUUUAGAGUUCUGGAGCUCAGAAGUUUGAAAUCAAGGUGUUGGAAGGGAAGAAUUCUUUCUGGAGGCUCUAAGGAAGGAUGUGUUUCCCUUCCUUUUCCAGCUCUGGAGGCUGCCUAAGUUCCUUGACUCGUGGUUGCUUCCCCUUAUCUGCAGAGCUGAUAACAGUAGGUCACGUCCAUCUCAUGCUGCCAUCUUUUUGACUCUCCUUUUCAAUUUUCUCUUCUACUUUAAAGACCCUUGUGAUUACACUAGGGCCACCCAGAUGACCCAGAAGAAUCUCCCUCUUUUUUGGUUACCUGUUAGGAGCAUUAAUGCUAUCUCAACUUUAAUUCCCCUUUGCUCUGUAACCCAUAUAUUCACAGGUUCUAGGGACUGAGAUAUAGACAGACAUUUUGGGGUACACUGCUCUGCAUACUACACUGUCUAAAAUGUGUCUCCUGGAUAUGCUUUUGCUUAGCUCUUAUUUGCUUUCAUGGCCCUAAUCACAGAUCUGAAUUUAUUUAUUUAUUUUUUCGCUUUUCUUUUUCUGUCCCUGAUCAGAAUGAUGGAAAUCUAUGAUAAGGGCAGAAAUCUGUCUUUUUUGUCUUUGUGUCCUUAACAAAUAGAAGAAACGCAAACAAAUGUUGGUUGAGAUAGCUGAUGAAUGAAUAGAGGAAGAGUUAUUGAAAGGCUGGGUUAUGGAAUUUCACUUGGAAGUGGAUGAAGAGGAAACCUUGAGGAGGUGAUGUGGACCCAGUCAUCAGAGGAGCAGGAAAGGAAAGCAGCUGGGAAGAAGCGAAACUGCGGACUGACAGUAGAAGGUUGGAAUGUGUAACAUCACUGGUGGAACUCACUAAGGGCAAUUAAAAGUUUUAUCUAUUUAUCUGUACUUAUUUGAAAGCGGGGAGGAGAGAGAGUUACAGAGGUUGUUGGUUUGAGCCUUAAAGGAUAUUUCCUCCCAACACUCCCUUCUAGUACCUUAAUGGAUGCCAAAAUUAGUACAAACAAGUAGGUUGCAAACAAAGGACAUAUGAACCACUUGGCAUUGUUUAUUGGGCCAAGAUGGGGUAAAAGGAAGUGAGACUUCCUCCAUCUCUUUACUUUGGGUGGUAAAUAUAGUUCAUGCUAUUAAGUGAUUAAAGAGCUGCCUGAGUUACCGGCACUGUUCUCUUGGGACUGCAUCCCUUUGAGGAUGUCGGGCUGAUGGAAUGGGUGAGACAGCUGCACUACAGACCCAAGCGAGGAAGAUGAUAAAUGUCCAGUCUGGGGGCAGUGUGGUUUCUUCUGACAACUCUUCUGAGAAGCUCAUAUUUCACAAUUCUCACCACAAAGCAUGGAAUGAAAAUUGAAGCUUUUAUGUGACCAUGAUGAAAGAAUCUUUUACUGUUUGUUAACUCUACACGGUUGGGCAUGCUGAAAAUGAAAUAGAGAUAGAUUUGACAGUUGCUUGCUUACAGUAUCACUAAUGCACACCUUGGGAGCUGGAGUUACAGCUUUGCCAGGGUUCUGGCUGGUCAGAAUACUGGGGAGGAGAGGAAUCUAGACAGCUGAGACUGGGACAUCUGUGGGAAUCCUGGUCACCUGGAGAAUCUGUCUCCACACUGCUCUAGGAUAUACUCUACUACCAUUUCCUUAUGUGAGAAAAUGGGCAAGUCUCACUCCUCUCUAGUAAAAUCAUGGGAUUAAAUUCUAGCAAGAGACAUGUAAGUGAAUGGUAUAGUUUCCAGUAAUGCAUUUUCCAGUUUAUUUCACUUUGCUCAUUCUUUCUUGGUGUAAGUUUUUCUUUUAUUUAUUUUGAAAGUCAGAGUUAUUGGGGGGGGGCGGAGACACACACACACACACACACACACACAGAUCUUCUAUUGAUUGGUUCUUUCCCCAGAUGGUCUCAACAGAUAGCACUGGGCCAGGCCAAAGCCAGGAGCCAGGAGUUUCAUCCAGGUCUCCCAUGAAGUUGGCAAAAGGCCCAGACACUUGGGCCAUCUUCUGUUGGAUCAUCAGGAGCUAUGGGACAUGAUGAAGCACUAAGGUAAUAGAAUCUGGGUUGGUAAUGCCAUGGACUGUCCUGCCAGCCCUGGCUACCUUCCUGGGCACUUACAUGAGAGAAACACACUCCUGGCUUGCUUAAUCCACUGUUAUUUGAGAUGUUUGUGAUUCUCAGCUGCCUAUUCUUAUUCUUCAUGUUUGUUGACCCAGUGAGGGGAAGAAGAAUCUAGAGUUUUUCUAGUAACCUGCCUUAUGAAUUCUGAUUCCUGUUUCUAUGACACUGGCUUCUAAUGGUUUAGAGGUUUGGAUACCUAGAAGUGAUAUUCUUUCAUCAGGAACAGGAAUGGGUCCACUGAUUAGGAAGCUGGCCACGUGAGGUUCCUUGUACCAAUUGUAGACAGGAAAAGGUGGUUUUUGCAGUUACCUAUGGUGAUGUACAUUGAUUAUCAAAGAGAAGAGAAGUGGCUGCUACAUGAAAAAAAAAAUGGGCACAAUCAGAGGAGAGCUGUACUGUCCCAUUCAGGUGAUCAGUGUGUCAUUGCUGAUCUUCCUAUGGGAAAGCCUGUCAAGGGCUCAGACCUCUUGGAAGAGUCUCUGCUCCUGUCGUGACAGGGCCUCAACUGGUUUUGUCAGAGGUUCUGGUCAAAGGUCAGAGGAACAUGGAAUGAAUCUUAGAGGUGAUGAUGAAUUGUAAGCACCAGCUAUAGUUUUAUCGCCAGCUAGAGAAACGAGCUAUAACCUCUACUUCAUCUUCUUGCUAGCUACACACUAUGAACAAGUUUUCCUUUUAUUUGUUCUUUUCUUGUCAGGUUACUUGAGACGGUUCAUCAUUUAAACAUAUUUAUUUAUUUAUUUUUCAGGCAGAGAGACACACAGACCAAGAUACAGACUGAGAGACAGAGAUCCCAUCCUCUGGUUUAUUCUCCAAAUGUGUUUAACAGUCAGGGCUGGGGUGGGGCUGAAGCUGGGAGCUAGGAACACAAUCCAGGUCCCAACAUGGGUUGCAGGAACCCAACUACUUGAGCCAUCACCACUGCCUCUCAAAUUCUGCAUUAGCAGGAAUCUGCAGAGUCAGAGCUGGGAAUUUAACCCAGGCAGUCUGAUAAGAGACAUGGGUGCAUUAACCAUGAGACUAAACAUCUUGUCCUAUGUUUAUCACUCAAUCCAUGUUUAUGAACCCUGGAGUUAUGAUCAUGAUGGAAUUUUUAAGGUGUUUAUUUUUACCUGCCUAUUAUAUUUUCCCAACCCCAUUUCUAGCCCUUCUUCUGGUAAAAGAGGCUGUACCCCUUACUCCAUUCCAGUCUGGGCUUUCAAAUAGCCUCACAUGCCCUGGCUUCAGGGAUAAGUUGGCUCAAUUGCAUUCUUCCUCCUGGAACUUCUAACCUUGAGCCAAGGGUGGGAGGCUAGAAGGCUGCCAGAGCUGAAUCACCCCAUGGCAAUGCCCUUGAGCAAGGGUCUGUUUGUUUCUGCUAUUGGGAUAUCUAGUACUUUAAUGGUUCGUGUUUUUCAUAGCCCUAAUAUUUCAUUCUUGCCAUUUUGUAAAUGAUCUAAGGCUCUACUUUUUUAUUUAUGUGUGUAUUAACCAGUAUGAUUUUCUACUGCUUGCAACAGCAAAAUAAUAAUACAGGAUUCAUAAAAUACAAAGUGAAUGUGUUUUAAACUCCAUCCCUUGAAAUUCAGAUCCGCCCACUUUGUGACUGUCUAACUGGUAGAGGCAGUACUAAGCCCCACAGCUUUUGAGGCAUUGUUCAUUCCUCUCUUAACUAGUUUAUGCUGUGCUCAAACUGCUCCCUCUAAUGAAAACACGGGUGCUUUGCCUUUUUCCUCACAGCAUGAUGAGUGUAAACAUGAUGGUAUAGGCUGGGAAAACGUGAGAAGUCUGUCCACAUUGGUCUUGGAGGCAACAGGGCAAAACAUGGACAACAAACAAACAACCAUUCCUGCAAGUAUUGACUAAGACAGAACAAACUGUUCCCCAAAUGUAUGAGGUAAAACAAGGCAAAUUCUGAGAAUUAAGUUGACAGGCAUAUACAGAAGUGUAAUUUUUUUCUUAAUUAAACUGACAAAGAUCUCCAGUUCCACAUAAAUCAACGGAAAGCUACAGACCUACAGUGCUAAAAGGAAAGACGUUAUGAGUUGCUGAAAGGAGAAUGCAAGAGAAAAAAUGUAAUGAAGUAACCCACGCUUUGCUGACUUGAUUUCCUUGGGGUAGGUGGUGGUUGGGCUGAGUAGGGGAUGGGUGAAGACAAACAGUGGAUUCUACAAGUUAAUUUCCAGGGUCAUCCUUGGCAGGAGGUAGGAGAGGCAGAUACAAUGGUUCCCUUCUUCCGUAUUUUUUCCCUCCCUCUCUUCUUCCCUCCCUCCUUCCCUCCCUCCCUCCCUCCCUCCCUCCCUUCCUUCCUUCCUUCCUUCCUUCCUUCCUUCCUUCCUUCCUUCCUUCUCUCAAGAUUUAUUUAUUUAUUUUGAAAGUCAGAGUUGCAGAGAGAGAGAGGGACAGAGAGCAAUCUUCCAUCCUCUAUUUCACUCCCUAGAUGGUUGCAGUAGUCCAUGCUGGGCCACACUGAAGCCAGAGGGCAAGCAUUUCUUUUGGGUCUCCCACAUGGGUGUCAGGGACCCAGACGUUUGGGCCAUCUUCUGCUGCUUUUGCUAGGUCAUUAGGAGGGAGCUUGAAUGGAAGUAGAGCAGCCAGGACUCGAACCGGCACUUAUAUGGGAUGCUGGUGUCACAGGUGGCAGCUUUACCUGUUAUGCUACAACACUGCUUCUGUCUUUUUUAAAACUAUAUAUAAUAUGCAUAUAUAUAUAUUUAUUUGGGAGGGAGGGAUAGUGAGAGGAAAGAAGGGAGAGUGAGGGAGGGAGAGAUAGAGAUUCCACUUUGGUUAGCUGGUUCACUCUCCAAAUGCCCACAACAUCUGGGGCUGGGCCAAGGCUGGGAGCCGGGAGCCAGGAGCCAGGAAUGCAAUCCACGUCUCCCAUGUGAGUGAUAGGAACUCAAUUACUGAGUAUUACCUCUGUCUUCCCCUGGUAUCUUCUUCCAUCUCUCAAAUGAAAGGAAUAUGAAAUUAAAAUAGAGAUUUAGGACAAUGGAGAGCUGACCCCACUGUGCGAGGAGAGGCUGGGCUGUGAAGGGACUUGGAUGACGUUUCCACCUGUGUCCUCCCAUUCCUCCUCUGGAGGGGGAUCCCAAGAGUGCUUAAACUCCUCCUCUUUGCAUACUGUCACCCACUUUCCCCUAUGGCUUGAUUCUUAGGGGAUACUCCUAAUGAAUUCUCUUCUUGGCUCUGUUGAUGCAUUGCACAAAUACAACCAUUCUCCUUCUAGUUCAUUGCACUACAUAAAAGAAAAGGUUUAAUUUUUUUUUUUUUUUUGGACAGGCCUCCUUCACUUACGUAAGUCCUUGCCAGUCAGUAAUGACCCUGUUUCUCAAUGAGUUAAUGAAGGCAUCAGAAUCCUUCUGAACACAACUUCUACAGUAGCCCUGCUAGUCAUUCACAGCUGGCCCAUGGAGCAAAAUCUGUUGGCCCUCUUUGAAUUAGUUAGGAGGAUAAGCUUAGGAGGCAGAUGGAUGAGAGUUUACAGACUCCUUGCCUGCUGUGUGUCGUGAGCGCCACUUGUCAUGCAGCUCAACAAGGCUAGUGCGAUGUGUUGGAGCACGGGCAAGAAUCACACAGAAUUGUGAUAGUCUUUUUAAUAUAAUUUAUUAUUUAAUAAUCAAUACCACUCAAUAUAUAUAUAUUCAAUGCACACACCUAAAGGUCAAUUCCACUCAAUAUGUCAUUAGUCCACGGUCAUAACACACAUCUAGGAGUAAGGCAAUUUUCAGAAAUAUCCUGCAAUGGUAAUACGUAUAACACAUACAGAGCAUAAAAGCAUAACCAAUCUAAACACUCAUGACUAAGGAUGUAAUAAGAAUGCUGUGUUCUCAAGACUUGUAUCACAGUCAUGAAAAGUCAAAGUCCAAAGUCUAGAGUCCAAAGUCUCCGUUACCACUCGGAGAGACGGAUCUCAGAACAGUCACUUACAGGCAGGAGUGGUGGGAUGCCUGGCACUUUAGGCAGUAGGCUUGAAGUUCCAAGAUGGAUGGCAGGGUGAAGGGUUGGAGAGGUCACCUGAUGAGAGGUCUGGUCCAGCUCUGAUGUCAGGUCCGGCAGCAGCUGGGACGUCCAGGCGAGGUCAGUCCGUGGAGACUCGGGCAGAGCUGCACUUGCACUGAGCCAUGGUUCCUGAGGGGAUGAAGAGCAGUUGUGAGGCUUGCCCUUUUAUUCUCUCUGGGGUAGGUGGGCGGUCAAGGUGCCCUGGGGUGUCACCAAUCACAAACUCAUUUUUUCAGGUAUCACCAACCAGAUGUUGGUGUCUGGGUGUGACCAGUGGUGUCUGAGGGGUCUUCUGGGUGUUGCUAACUGUGGUGUAGUAGUAGCCAGCUGUUUUGCUUCUUCUUAUGAUGUAAUGUCCCCCAGUCCUUAUCAGGCCUCACCACCCGUGAGAUAGAUGCUCUAGGCAGUUUCUGGUGCUUAGUGGCCUUAGCUUAAGUAACCCCAUUUUGGUUCUGCUUAGCUUAAGCAACUCCAUUUUGGUUCUGCUUAGCUUAAGUAACUCCAUUUUGGUUUUGCUUUUUCUCUUUGUUUUUGGAUUAGCAGUGCUCUGUAACUCUUUUGGGACUCCUGUGGGAUUCCCUACACUGUGUAACCUUGAACAUGUAUUAAAUUGCUUUGUGCCAAACUGGUAAAAAUGGGGCAUAGUUUUUGCUAAACUGUUCGUGAGAUCAGGUAGGCAGGACACACAACUGUGGAUGCAAGUUAUUGUCAUGAAGUUAGUUUGAACUCAAAAGAUCCCUGGAAAUAGGAGGUGAGGCAUACCACGCAGGGGCAAAUGGGGAUGAACCAUCAGGGUGGGUCAGGAAGCAGAAGGAGGGAGAGAGGAAGGUGCGGGCUGGAGCCCUCCUUGUGGUUUCCCUGGGAUGCAGUGAGUGAGUUUGGGGAGCAGGCUGGCCAGGUUUGGCACUUGCUGUUUUGAAUAAUUAUCAUGUGCUCCAAGGUGUGGGGGGGUGCCCCUGGUUAUCUGAUACCUGGCUUUGGUGUGACUAGGGCAGAGCAAUGCCACCUCCUGAAUAUAUAAGAUAGACAGGGAGCUAGUUCAGCGUGGGCUCCGCAUGGGUGGGUUUGCACAUCAGAGGCUAUGUACAGUGAGUCAUUUACUAUCUGUGGAAUAAGCCAGCCCUGGGAAGGGUAGCCUCUUGGGAUUAGCAAGGUCCUCAAAUGUCAAAGUGUCAUAAAAUACAGAAAGUCGAAAUGAAGUUGGAUGAGUGCAGUUGUCUUACAGUGCAAGGGAACACAGUGCAGCUGGAUCACAUUUUGAGCUAUUGGGUUGAUGUUUCCUCCUACUUCUCUGUCCUCUAUGCUGCCUCCCCCCGUUGAAGCACAAGGCGGUGGCCUGCAGAAGUUCUUCAGUUUUUGUUUCUCAAAGCCCAGACCUGUCUGAGAAGUCUCCCGGAGGAGGUGGAAGAGAGCACUGUGGAAGAGGCAGAGUAGCCUUCCUCAGACCGAAGGGAGAGGGCCCAGGUUUCUUGAGAAGUUCUGCUUGUCUCUGGGCAGCUCUUGUCCCCAUGCAGCUCUGGACGGUCCUUGCAUUGUCACUGCAACCCAGGCCUUGCUCAGGGUGCCUCUGCAGAUGAGGGAUCCAACGCCCUGGGUCUGCAAGGCCAAGCCAGGGGGGACAGUGGACGUGCGUGUGUGAACCCAUGUGCAUGAUGACCCAGGCUGGUGGGCCCUAGGACCCUGGGGCUGUGCACCACCUCUAGGAGGAGCCAAACCCAGAAGAGGGCUGAGGUGAAAGGGUCCUCAGCCCGGUAGGGCAGGAACUCCAAGUGAAGAUUAUAUGAAUUUAUAGGAAAUGAAGGGGUGCACAGUUUCCUGCAGCCUUGAAGCUGGACUGAGAGUCAUACGUGCUCCAACUGUACCUACAACAAUGCUGGACACACUGUGAAUGCCUUAAAGCACAGAUAUAUUUUUCCUUGGGAAAGUUAAAGGUAUCUUUUAAAAAGUUAAAAAAAAAAAUCCCUUACCAUGUGCAUUACUGACCCAGUGGAACUCUUCAGACACAGUACUCCGUCUCUGCCAUCACCCUGCCCAAGCCCAUCCUCCACUCUCUCCUGCCACAGUCUGUGUUGCAGGAAGCUGCCUGGCCAGAUGCCUUUUGCUGGCCAGUUUCUCACCAGGGCUGACCACAGUGAGUCACCAGCAGGAGCUGGGAAGUGGGAGAGGACAAACUGAGGCGCUCUUUCUAGCUUCCUCCCUGCAAGGCUCCAAGGGCGUGGGCCUGGCUGCAUGCUUGGGGGAGUACAGCUCCUGCCCGCUUAUUUCCCCUUCCUUGAGUCUUAGAGGAGCCAUGCCUCCCUCCUGCCCAUU
This is a non-coding RNA of Oryctolagus cuniculus (rabbit), 12845 nucleotides long. The record is from RefSeq and is a predicted model, not a curated record. NCBI's taxonomy places the organism in Eukaryota, Metazoa, Chordata, Mammalia, Lagomorpha, Leporidae.